Molecule: ribosomal RNA, 253 nt
Filed under: uncultured Bacteroides sp.
Lineage: Bacteria; Pseudomonadati; Bacteroidota; Bacteroidia; Bacteroidales; Bacteroidaceae
Description: partial 16S ribosomal RNA
Rfam family: Bacterial small subunit ribosomal RNA
Source: RNAcentral
UACGGAAGGUCCGGGCGUUAUCCGGAAUGAUUGGGUUUAAAGGGAGCGUAGGUGGAUUGUUAAGUCAGUUGUGAAAGUUUGCGGCUCAACCGUAAAAUUGCAGUUGAAACUGGCAGUCUUGAGUACAGUAGAGGUGGGCGGAAUUCGUGGUGUAGCGGUGAAAUGCUUAGAUAUCACGAAGAACCCCGAUUGCGAAGGCAGCAUACCGGCGCCCUACUGACGCUGAGGCACGAAAGUGCGGGUAUCGAACAGG